AUCCUCAGUUAUGGGGCUGGGUUCUGGGGUGCAGGUCCCAUAAAGGGAGGCAGUGCCCAGGAUUCUGGGGGCGGGGACUGGGAUCUGCCCUGACCUCUGCGUCCACAACCCCUACCCUCUCCCCCCCAAGACUACACAGUGGAGAACCUUGUCCGGAUGGCCGUGGCUGGCCUGAUCCUGCUGGGCCUCGGGAUUCUGCUCUUCCAGGCUCAACACAGCUAUGGAGGAACACAAGAUGCGGCCAGGAGCUCAGAACAGAAGCAACAGGGCACCGUCCAGAGUGGCAGAGCCUUAGAAAUGACCUGAUGGGCCCAGAAGGUUCUGGAAGAGAAUCUGCAGUGUUGUGAGAACUGCCUGCUGAGGCCAUGGAGGGAGAGACAGGGUGUGGGUGCGGGGGGAGGACUGGGGAGUCCCUGUGCAGGGCUCUGCCUCUGUUACACCAAGGUGCUCUCCUCCUCCACGGACGCCGCUCCCUGACGGCCUGUCCUCUCUCACCUGGGACAUGAGGCGCAGCCCACACGGCAGGUGUGUGCCCACACCUUAAACACCUGCGUGCUCUGGUUCAGUUUCCUGCAAUAUAGUUUCCUUUGUUUUUAAUUUCCACAUUCUCUGGUGUGUGAUAUUGAUCUCCAUUCCUUUGCUCAUACACAGAAUAGGGUUCAAGUAACUGAAUAAAUGGGUGUAAUUGGGGCCCAAUUUGGGACACAUGAAUCCAACACUCACCCCUUAAGCCCUUUCUGGACCGUCAAGCCCUCCUCCCCUCAUCAGAUGACACCUGACAUAGGUUCUCCAGAAACACCAGAGUUUGAAGCAACACCCUAGUGUUUGAAGUGACAGCCAGGUGCUGUGCCAGUAAGUGGGCUUUAAGAAUAUACCUUUUUAAGCAUGAUAAUUGUACAUGUAUGUGUAACUGGGUCACCAUGCUGUACAGUAGAAAAAAAAUAUUGGGGAAAUAACAAUUGAUUACAAUUAAGACUCCUUGAUAAGAAAAAGAAAGAAAGAAUACACCUUUUUAAAAUAUAAAAAGUCCAUAUUUGUGCAAUUCAUCUGUCUUUAGUAUAACUCUUCCUGGCCAACGUCAAGGUACCCAUGCAAAUGCACUGAAGGCAGAGGUGGGAAGUAGUGAAGAGAGUUGUAUAAUGGGUGUUCCCAUUGUG
Molecule: long non-coding RNA, 1157 nt
Filed under: Sus scrofa (pig)
Lineage: Eukaryota; Metazoa; Chordata; Mammalia; Artiodactyla; Suidae
Description: lncRNA (ENSSSCG00005006040.1)
Source: RNAcentral